CCUACGGGAGGCAGCAGUGAGGAAUAUUGGUCAAUGGGCGCGAGCCUGAACCAGCCAAGUAGCGUGAAGGAUGACUGCCCUACGGGUUGUAAACUUCUUUUGUGCGGGAGCAAUAAUGGUCACGUGUGGCCAGACGAGAGUACCGUACGAAUAAGCAUCGGCUAACUCCGUGCCAGCAGCCGCGGUAAUACGGGGGAUGCAAGCGUUAUCCGGAUUUAUUGGGUUUAAAGGGUGCGUAGGCUGUGAGGUAAGUCAGCGGUGAAAUGCCCCCGCUCAACGGGGUGAAGUGCCAUUGAUACUGCCUUGCUGGAAUGCGGAUGCCGUGGGAGGAAUGUGUGGUGUAGCGGUGAAAUGCAUAGAUAUCACACAGAACACCGAUUGCGAAGGCAUCUCACGAAUCCGCGAUUGACGCUGAUGCACGAAAGCGUGGGUAUCAAACAGGAUUAGAUACCCCUGUAGUC
RNAcentral lists this ribosomal RNA (461 nucleotides) under uncultured bacterium. Its description in RNAcentral is "partial 16S ribosomal RNA". It matches the Rfam family "Bacterial small subunit ribosomal RNA", at positions 338 to 795 of the family's 1533-position model. The record is from RNAcentral.